GUGGAAGACUCCAGGCCAGCUGGGUACUACAACUGGAAUUGGCACAGUGUGACUUCUUCCAUAUUCUAUUAUUCAGAGUAGUCUUGGGGCCCAUGCAGAGGUGGGAGGUGGAAAAAGCCUCCAUCUCUUGAUAUAGAUGGAAAACAUUAUGACCAUCUGUGGAAAUACCAUCCGCCACGUUCACCCACACAAUUCAUUACCAAGUCUUAUCCAUUCUACCUUAUAGAUAAUGCCCAAGUGUAUUUACUUCUCUCCUUCACCACUGUCAUUGCCUACAAGUCACAAUUUUUUCUCUCCUGGACUUCUGUCUUAGCCUCCUGACAGAUUUCCAUGGUACUUUCAAGGUCUCCUCCAUUCUCUAUGUAAUUGGAAGAGCUAUCCCUUUAAAAGAGCUAUCCCUUUAAAACUUAUGUUUCUCCUUAUUUUUGAAACUUUUACAGGGCUCCCUAUUGCACUUAGGAAGAUUAUAACAACAUUCACAAGUCCUUUUAUGACCCUCUCUCCACUCAUCUAUCCUCAUCUCUCACCCCACAACUUUUUACUCGACACUUUAGGCCGAUGGAAAAUUUUUCAUUUCUUGAAUUCACACUAUCUUAUCUUUCCUCUCCAGGCUUUUACACAUUCUCGCCCCUCUUCUACCCUAUCUUUAUCUAGUUAUCUCCUCCUCAACCUCAGCCUUUAGGUGUCAGUUUAAAAUCUACUCUAAGUAAACUUUCUUAGACUCCAAGACUAAGUUAUUUAGUCCUUCCAUACCCUUGGCACUCCAUAUGUACUAAUCCUGUGCUAAUUAUUACUCUUAAAAAUUCAUCACCUUUUGUAUUUCUUUGUUUGAUGCCUUUUAAUCUAUUCUGUAUAUAAAUGCACCUGUAUGUAAGUACUUGUUCUCUAUAUAAGUGUACCUCUAGUGUCUGGAACAUUCCUGUCCAUAGUACAUGCUCACUAAAUAUCAAAUAAAAGAAUCUUCCUUUUUAUAGUUUAUUUUGCUAUGAACUGAUAGUGGUGUGUUAAAUCUCCC
RNAcentral lists this long non-coding RNA (1015 nucleotides) under Marmota monax (woodchuck). Lineage: Eukaryota; Metazoa; Chordata; Mammalia; Rodentia; Sciuridae. The record is from RNAcentral.